Molecule: ribosomal RNA, 253 nt
Filed under: uncultured bacterium
Lineage: Bacteria
Description: partial 16S ribosomal RNA
Rfam family: Bacterial small subunit ribosomal RNA
Source: RNAcentral
UACGAGAGGCCCAAACGUUAUUCGGAAUUACUGGGCUUAAAGAGUUCGUAGGCGGCAUGACAAGUAGGGUGUGAAAGCCCUCGGCUCAACCGAGGAAUUGCGCUCUAAACUGUCGUGCUAGAGGAACCUAGGGGUGAGCAGAACUGAUGGUGGAGCGGUGAAAUGCGUUGAUAUCGAGAGGAACACCUGCGGCGAAGGCGGGUUGCUGGGCUGAUACUGACGCUGAGGCGCGAAAGCUAGGGGAGCGAACGGG